Molecule: transfer RNA, 73 nt
Filed under: Felis catus (domestic cat)
Lineage: Eukaryota; Metazoa; Chordata; Mammalia; Carnivora; Felidae
Rfam family: tRNA
About the family: Transfer RNA (tRNA) molecules are approximately 80 nucleotides in length. Their secondary structure includes four short double-helical elements and three loops (D, anti-codon, and T loops).
Source: Rfam by way of RNAcentral
GCCUGGCUGGCUCAGUUGGUGGAGCAUGUGACUCUUGAUCUUGGGGUCAUGAGUUCAAGCCCCAUAUUGGGCC